UACGUAGGGUGCGAGCGUUAAUCGGAAUUACUGGGCGUAAAGCGUGCGUAGGCGGUUCGCUGUGUCCGAUGUGAAAGCCCCGGGCUUAACCUGGGAAUGGCAUUGGAAACUGGCGGGCUUGAGUGCGGCAGAGGGGGGUGGAAUUCCGCGUGUAGCAGUGAAAUGCGUAGAUAUCAGGAGGAAUACCGAUGGCGAAGGCAGGUCUCUGGGCUGACACUGACGCUCAUGCACGAAAGCGUGGGGAGCAAACAGG
RNAcentral lists this ribosomal RNA (253 nucleotides) under uncultured bacterium. Its description in RNAcentral is "partial 16S ribosomal RNA". It matches the Rfam family "Bacterial small subunit ribosomal RNA", at positions 524 to 776 of the family's 1533-position model. The record is from RNAcentral.